UCAAGUGACUAAGAGCAUAUGGUGGAUGCCUUGGCGAUGAUAGGCGACGAAAGACGUGAUAGCCUGCGAUAAGCUUCGGGGAGCUGGCAAAUAAGCUUUGAUCCGGAGAUUUCUGAAUGGGGGAACCCACCUCACAAGAGGUAUCGUGCACUGAAUACAUAGGUGCACGAAGCGAACCUGGAGAACUGAAACAUCUAAGUACCCAGAGGAAAAGACAUCAACCGAGAUUCCGAUAGUAGUGGCGAGCGAAUUCGGAAGAGCCUUGCAGUGAUAGUCGAUCAGUUAACAAAACGGCAUGGAAAGGCCGACCAUAGUGGGUGAUAGUCCCGUAUGUGAAAACCGAUCGGUGGUACUAGGCUGCAGACAAGUAGGGCGGGGCACGAGAAACCCUGUCUGAAUAUGGGGGGACCAUCCUCCAAGGCUAAAUACUCAUCAUCGACCGAUAGUGAACCAGUACCGUGAGGGAAAGGCGAAAAGAACCCCGGGAGGGGAGUGAAAUAGAUCCUGAAACCGUAUGCUUACAAAAAGUCGGAGCCCUUAGGGGUGACGGCGUACCUUUUGUAUAAUGGGUCAGCGACUUACAUUCAGUGGCAAGCUUAACCGAAUAGGGGAGGCGAAGAGAAAUCGAGUCCGAAUAGGGCGAUUAGUCGCUGGGUGUAGACCCGAAACCAAGUGAUCUAUCCAUGGCCAGGAUGAAGGUGCCGUAACAGGUACUGGAGGUCCGAACCCACUAAUGUUGCAAAAUUAGGGAUGAGCUGUGGAUAGGGGUGAAAGGCUAAACAAACUUGGAAAUAGCUGGUUCUCUCCGAAAACUAUUUAGGUAGUGCCUCAAGUAUUACCGUCGGGGUAGAGCACUGUUUAGGCUAGGGGGUCAUGGCGACUUACCAAACCUAUGCAAACUCCGAAUACCGACGAGUACAGCUUGGGAGACAGAGCACCGGGUGCUAACGUCCGGACUCAAGAGGGAAACAACCCAGACCGCCAGCUAAGGUCCCUAAAAUUGGCUAAGUGGGAAACGAAGUGGGAAGGCUAAAACAGUCAGGAUGUUGGCUUAGAAGCAGCCAUCAUUUAAAGAAAGCGUAAUAGCUCACUGAUCGAGUCGUCCUGCGCGGAAGAUGUAACGGGGCUAAGCCAGUUACCGAAGCUGCGGAUUUGCAAUUUAUUGCAAGUGGUAGGAGAGCGUUCUGUAAGCCUGUGAAGGUGUCUGGUAACGGAUGCUGGAGGUAUCAGAAGUGCGAAUGCUGACAUGAGUAGCGUUAAAGGGGGUGAAAAGCCCCCUCGCCGUAAGCGCAAGGUUUCCUACGCAACGUUCAUCGGCGUAGGGUGAGUCGGCCCCUAAGGCGAGGCAGAGAUGCGUAGCUGAUGGGAAACAGGUCAAUAUUCCUGUACCGAUCAAUAGUGCGAUGUGGGGACGGAGAAGGUUAGCUCAGCCAACUGUUGGAAUAGUUGGUUCAAGCGUGUAGUCGUGCUCUUUAGGCAAAUCCGGAGAGCUGAGAUGAGGC
This 1502-nucleotide ribosomal RNA is filed under the name Comamonas testosteroni. RNAcentral's name for it is "bacterial LSU rRNA". It matches the Rfam family "Bacterial large subunit ribosomal RNA", at positions 3 to 1562 of the family's 2925-position model. The record is from RNAcentral. Lineage: Bacteria; Pseudomonadati; Pseudomonadota; Betaproteobacteria; Burkholderiales; Comamonadaceae.